Non-coding RNA from Lizonia empirigonia, 84 nucleotides. Lineage: Eukaryota; Fungi; Ascomycota; Dothideomycetes; Pseudoperisporiaceae. The record is from the annotation of a GenBank genome assembly.
GGUUCGCUGGUGUAGUUGGUUAUCACGUUCGCCUCACAACCUAGUGUCCGCGAAAGGUCGCGAGUUCGAACCUCGCGUGAAUCA